GGAUGCGAUCAUACCAGCACUAAAGCCCCCGAUCCCAUCAGAACUCCGAAGUUAAUCGUGCUUGGGCGAGAGUAGUACUAGGAUGGGUGAUCUCCUGGGAAGUCCUCGUGUUGCAUUCC
RNAcentral lists this ribosomal RNA (119 nucleotides) under Triticum aestivum (bread wheat). Lineage: Eukaryota; Viridiplantae; Streptophyta; Magnoliopsida; Poales; Poaceae. The record is from RNAcentral.